GGAUUAGAUACCCUGGUAGUCCACGCCGUAAACGAUCAUCACUCGCUGUUGGCGAUACACUGUCAGCGGCCAAGCGAAAGUAUUAAGUGAUGCACCUGGGGAGUACGCCGGCAACGGUGAAACUCAAAGGAAUUGACGGGGGCCCGCACAAGCGGUGGAGCAUGUGGUUUAAUUCGAUGAUACGCGAGGAACCUUACCAGGGCUUAAAUGUAGUAUGACCGGUCUGGAAACAGACCUUCCCUUCGGGGCAAAUUACAAGGUGCUGCAUGGUUGGCGUCAGCUCGUGCUG
This 289-nucleotide ribosomal RNA is filed under the name uncultured bacterium. RNAcentral's name for it is "partial 16S ribosomal RNA". It matches the Rfam family "Bacterial small subunit ribosomal RNA", at positions 775 to 1067 of the family's 1533-position model. The record is from RNAcentral.